CUGAAGAUCGGGAUAACAACUGGAAACGACUAAUAAUACCGUAUAAUCUCCAUAUUUAACUUUAUUUCGGAAAUUUNCCCUCUAUUUAUAACCNNACGCUUUUGGAUGAUUCCCCGUCUCAUUAGCUUGUUGCUGGGGUAAUGGCCUACCAAGGCAACGAUGAGUAGCUGGUCUGAGAGGAUGAUCAGCCACACUGGGACUGAAACACGGCCCAGACUCCUACGGGAGGCAGCAGUGGGGAAUAUUGCGCAAUGGGGGAAACCCUGACGCAGCGACGCCGCGUGUAGGAAGAAGGCCUUCGGGUCGUAAACUACUGUCAAGAGGGAAGAACCCGCAGCAUUAAUACGGCUCUGCGCUGACGGUACCUCUAGAGGAAGCACCGGCUAACUCCGUGCCAGCGAGCCGCGGUAAGACGGAGGGUGCGAGC
This 427-nucleotide ribosomal RNA is filed under the name Desulfovibrio sp. EX265. RNAcentral describes it as "bacterial SSU rRNA". It matches the Rfam family "Bacterial small subunit ribosomal RNA", at positions 131 to 539 of the family's 1533-position model. The record is from RNAcentral. Lineage: Bacteria; Pseudomonadati; Thermodesulfobacteriota; Desulfovibrionia; Desulfovibrionales; Desulfovibrionaceae.